RNAcentral lists this long non-coding RNA (516 nucleotides) under Brassica rapa (field mustard). Its description in RNAcentral is "long non-coding RNA (BRAP_LNC002101)". Lineage: Eukaryota; Viridiplantae; Streptophyta; Magnoliopsida; Brassicales; Brassicaceae. The record is from RNAcentral.
UUCUUGAUUUCUUAUAAGUUAUACUAUGUAGAAAUCAAUAAAAUUUAAGAAAAUAUAAUUUUUUUAUUACCAGAAAGUUCGGACCAAAACCUUAAUCUUUCCAAACCCAAAACCACAUGUAAUACUCCCUCCGUUUUUUAAUAUAAGUCGUUUUACAGGUAUGCACAUAGAUUAAGAAAACCUUUAAUUUUUUAUAUUUUCUAAACAAAAACAUCAUUAAUUAUUUACCUAACCACAAUUCAACCAAUAGAAAAAUAUAAGAUAUAUUAUCAUUGGUCAUACAACAUUAAUUAUUAAUAAAUUUUACAUAGAAAACCGAAACGACAUAUAAUUUGGAACAAAAAAAUUUCUCUAAAACGACUUAUAAUAAAAAACAGAGGGAGUAUUAGUUUUGUUCUAAUGGUCAUUCGAAAUAACCAAAUAUUAUUUCUUUAUGUGGUAGCACUAGAACCUGCACCUACUAUAUUAAUAUAAUUGGCCUUAAAAUGAGGAAAAAUCAAUAUAUCACGGUUCUAU